This 260-nucleotide ribosomal RNA is filed under the name uncultured bacterium. RNAcentral's name for it is "partial small subunit ribosomal RNA". It matches the Rfam family "Bacterial small subunit ribosomal RNA", at positions 26 to 288 of the family's 1533-position model. The record is from RNAcentral.
AGGACGAACGCUGGCGGCGUGCUUAACACAUGCAAGUCGAGCGGUGAUCCUCCUUCGGGAGGUGAUCAGCGGCGAACGGGUGAGUAACACGUGGGCAACCUGCCCCUCACACUGGGAUAACCUCGGGAAACCGGGGCUAAUACCGGAUACGACCUCGAGCGGCAUCUCUUGAGGUGGAAAGCUCCGACGGUGAGGGAUGGGCCCGCGGCCUAUCAGCUUGUUGGUGGGGUAAUGGCCUACCAAGGCGACGACGGGUAGCC